UCUGAGGUUAUGUUUUUUUGUUUAUUGUGAUGACAUUCAAAGUUUCCUGUUUUAGUUUGAAAGACUAACUUCUUCUGUCGAUUCAGUUCCUGCCCUUUUGUGUUUCCCAUCUCCGUGAUUAGUUUCACCUGUCCCUAAUUAGCCCUGCAUUCACCAGACCUCUGCUCACCUGUUCCCACUUCCCCAUUAGUCAGUCACUACAUAUACCGGUCCACUUCCUUUGUUCUGUUGUUAGAUAAUCAUCGUUGCUCUAUAGAGUUUUGUUAACUGUUUCACCUACCUGCGUGUUACCUGCCUGCCAUCUGGACUCUCACUGCCUGUCUGUGCCAGAUGUCAGGCUCCACCACUUAGCUCCCGAAGGUCAGACGAAUUGAGCAGGUGAGAUUAUCAAGUCAAUGGUCUUGAACUAAUGACCAGAACAUUGAGCCCAGACCUCUGCGAGCUGCUCAGUGCCUGAGUGGCAGAGAGGAAAUCUGUUUGAGAUGGAGCACCAAUGAAGCACCAAUCAGCCUCUUCUGCAGCAACUGCUAGGAGACGUAUGGACAAAUGAAUGACAUUUAUAACAGCAGAAAGUGAAGAGUCUGUCCCUAGUCUGAAGAAAAAUCAUUCACAGCUCUGCUUUGAAUCAUUUGAUUAAAUAUUGAUGUUGAAAGAAUGCCUCUAAUACUCCUCAUAGGCGCUGGUUGAUAUUCACUGAAAUGUUUCUGCUUCCUAAAAGUUAGAGCAGAAAGGAUAUUUGAGCAAUCCAAUUGAUAGGAAGAAAAGCAUUUUAUAUAUAUUUAUUUAUAUAUUUUAUAGUAACAGUGGAUACAAAAUGUCACUCAUAGUGAGAAUUAUCACUGAGCAUAUUCCAAAAUAAUGUAAAAAGACAGAGUGCCGA
Long non-coding RNA from Sebastes umbrosus (honeycomb rockfish), 880 nucleotides. RefSeq lists it as uncharacterized. The record is from RefSeq and is a predicted model, not a curated record. Lineage: Eukaryota; Metazoa; Chordata; Actinopteri; Perciformes; Sebastidae. The transcript is spliced from 3 exons.